GACGAACGCUGGCGGCGUGCUUAACACAUGCAAGUCGAACGAAGAGCGAUGGAAGCUUGCUUCUAUCAAUCUUAGUGGCGAACGGGUGAGUAACGCGUAAUCAACCUGCCCUUCAGAGGGGGACAACAGUUGGAAACGACUGCUAAUACCGCAUACGAUCUAAUCUCGGCAUCGAGGAUAGAUGAAAGGUGGCCUCUACAUGUAAGCUAUCACUGAAGGAGGGGAUUGCGUCUGAUUAGCUAGUUGGAGGGGUAACGGCCCACCAAGGCGAUGAUCAGUAGCCGGUCUGAGAGGAUGAACGGCCACAUUGGGACUGAGACACGGCCCAGACUCCUACGGGAGGCAGCAGUGGGGAAUCUUCCGCAAUGGACGAAAGUCUGACGGAGCAACGCCGCGUGAGUGAUGACGGCCUUCGGGUUGUAAAGCUCUGUUAAUCGGGACGAAAGGCCUUCUUGCGAAUAGGGAGAAGGAUUGACGGUACCGGAAUAGAAAGCCACGGAUAACUACGUG
This 510-nucleotide ribosomal RNA is filed under the name uncultured bacterium. RNAcentral's name for it is "partial 16S ribosomal RNA". It matches the Rfam family "Bacterial small subunit ribosomal RNA", at positions 28 to 507 of the family's 1533-position model. The record is from RNAcentral.